Brienomyrus brachyistius is the source of this 559-nucleotide long non-coding RNA. RefSeq lists it as uncharacterized. NCBI's taxonomy places the organism in Eukaryota, Metazoa, Chordata, Actinopteri, Osteoglossiformes, Mormyridae. The record is from RefSeq and is a predicted model, not a curated record. The transcript is spliced from 2 exons.
UUCCUGAUUAUUUCCACAAGGGGGCGAGCUCUGCAUAUCACCCUGCACACUGCUGUUGGUCUCGUCUACUUAAUCUGCACCAUUGUAGCUGUGAUGAGAACAUGGAGCUACUGCAGGAGAAAAGGACAGCGGGGUCAGAAGAUGUAAUUAGGCCAAGUUUGCAUCGGUGAGGAGGAGGAAGUGACACGAGCAACAUCUUCCUCUUUCAUGCAUUCUGUUGUUCUGAUGGAUACAGUUUUUUUCCUUUGUCUUUUUAAAAUGCUCUUGUCACUGUUGGAUGGUGCUGGUCAACAAAAUAGGUCACAUAGGGGGCUGCCUAGGGCUCCAUCUUCUGAGGGGGUUCCAACUUAGCAAAUUGCCAGCACCAGCCCCUGUCCAACCCCCUCUCCGUCCCCUCCUCCCCCCACGUGGAUGAUGAACAAAACCAGGCAAGAAAAAGUAACACUCAGCGCUAAAGUUUGAAUAUCGUCUAGGGCUUCGACCGGCACAGCUGUAGGAUAUUGUACAUUGGUCACUGCAGAAUUUUGUUUCUAAUGUAUAAAAUAAAGAUUCACUCUAA